RNAcentral lists this unclassified non-coding RNA (525 nucleotides) under Hevea brasiliensis (rubber tree). Lineage: Eukaryota; Viridiplantae; Streptophyta; Magnoliopsida; Malpighiales; Euphorbiaceae. The record is from RNAcentral.
UGAGGGAGAUUAUGCUAUUUGUGUUUGGUGGUGCUGAAUUGAUCUAAGUAGCAGAUGAAGUUUAUGAUUGAAUUGACGUAACAUCCGAUCGACCAUCCAUGGAUUUUUUUUUUGUCUGGAAUGACAAUCCAUAAAUUAUUAUUCAAAUGAAAAUAGGAAUUGUGAUUGUUUAUAUACAAGCUCCAGAGGAUUGCCAACAAUGUUUUAAUUGUGCCUCAUUUUGUCAAGUUAAAGGAACGAGAAUGAUUAUGUUUUGAUCUUUGUUUAUGUAUAUCAUAUGAAAUAUAUAAUAUGAACAAAAAAAAAAGAGAUUGAGAAAGUCUGAAGCUUUUAUGUCAAUCUAAAUGUCAGCAAAACUGUGCAGGUUAGCUUAACUUGUUAACUGUAUUAGACACAGAUUUGAGUGUCAGCAUUCUUGACAUCGAGAAUGUUUUUCAUCUCUGUAUUCAUAUUUCUUGGUGUUUGCAUGAGAUUGUGAGUAUUGGUACACAGAUGCUUCGAAGUGUUUUCUUUGUAUUAUUCGAG